GCACUACUGAGGAGUCCUACGAUAGGACGAAACGGCCGUCCAGAGC
Molecule: non-coding RNA, 46 nt
Filed under: Schistosoma mattheei
Lineage: Eukaryota; Metazoa; Platyhelminthes; Trematoda; Strigeidida; Schistosomatidae
Source: RNAcentral